AAAGCUCAAAUUUGAAAUCUGGCGCCUUCGGUGUCCGAGUUGUAAUUUGAAGAUUGUAACCUUGGGGUUGGCUCUUGUCUAUGUUUCUUGGAACAGGACGUCACAGAGGGUGAGAAUCCCGUGCGAUGAGAUGCCCAAUUCUAUGUAAGGUGCUUUCGAAGAGUCGAGUUGUUUGGGAAUGCAGCUCUAAGUGGGUGGUAAAUUCCAUCUAAAGCUAAAUAUUGGCGAGAGACCGAUAGCGAACAAGUACAGUGAUGGAAAGAUGAAAAGAACUUUGAAAAGAGAGUGAAAAAGUACGUGAAAUUGUUGAAAGGGAAGGGUUUGAGAUCAGACUCGAUAUUUUGUGAGCCUUGCCUUCGUGGCGGGGUGACCCGCAGCUUAUCGGGCCAGCAUCGGUUUGGGCGGUAGGAUAAUGGCGUAGGAAUGUGACUUUACUUCGGUGAAGUGUUAUAGCCUGCGUUGAUGCUGCCUGCCUAGACCGAGGACUGCGAUUUUAUCAAGGAUGCUGGCAUAAUGAUCCC
RNAcentral lists this ribosomal RNA (521 nucleotides) under Meyerozyma guilliermondii. RNAcentral describes it as "eukaryotic LSU rRNA". It matches the Rfam family "Eukaryotic large subunit ribosomal RNA", at positions 104 to 641 of the family's 3401-position model. Lineage: Eukaryota; Fungi; Ascomycota; Pichiomycetes; Serinales; Debaryomycetaceae. The record is from RNAcentral.